GUACCUUGUGUUACGGACCGUAACAUCGGACCGUAACACAGGGAAAAUUUCCAGAAAGUUUCUGGAAAUUUUCAUCAGGGUACGACGCGACGUUACGGUCCGUACCCUGUGUUACGGUACCGUAACGUGGGCGCGUUUUGGUCCGCAUUUGAGAUUCGGGUCAACUGACUUCGGGAGGCCAUAACCCCAUCGUAAGUUGAGAAUUUGGGAAAACUCAAAGAAUGAAAGUUGUAGAUUAUUGAAAUAUCUUUCCAACCAUAGGUUGUGGGUUCACAAGCGACGUCGGGAUUGGGAGAUAUGGACGUUUUAAGACAGAACAGUCCCGACCCGUUUUCAAGUUGGGUCAACCCAUUUUCCCUUGGUAUUUAAAGAAAAUGAAACCCUAGAAGCCUCAUUUUUUCCCCUCAUUUCAGAUUUUAGAGAGAGGAAAAAGAGAGAGAGAAAUUUAGAGAGAAGAAGGAGAAAAUCAACCAAUUUUAAGGCCCCGAAUCCUAAAGCUCGUGAAGGAUAAAGUGUAGUACGAGUUGUGGUCGUCAUUUUAAGCUAAAGAUCGGGCUUGGGAGUGUUGAUUUCGUGGUGACUACCCAAAAGAUUGAAGUUGAAGGGGGUGAAGGACAUUGUGAUACGCUCAAAAGCGGAAGGUUAAGGUACGGAUUUACAGGACGACGCUUCUGAUCAUUAGGAUUUGCUCGUGCUAGCUUAUUGGUGAGCCCCAUUUCAUUCGGGGUUUUAAGCAUUGUCUUCUCUAUGUAGUUUUGCAUGUAAAGGUAUGCUGGGGGCCUUGUCCCAGUACGUAUGACUUCCAGUCCAAACUCAAAAUAGAGGUUUCAUAGACUAGACAAAUCAGUUAUGUCAUGAUAGACAUUUGAAGUCAUAUGGACAUUUGGGCACACUCAUGUUUAAACAAGUACUUUAUUAUGUAAUAUGACCUAUUAUGUUGUACAAAGGUUCAUCAUGCAUUCACGUCAUAUUCCGCUUAUAAUAUGAAAUCAUGUUA
This is a long non-coding RNA of Lycium barbarum (goji berry), 997 nucleotides long. RefSeq lists it as uncharacterized. The transcript is spliced from 3 exons. NCBI's taxonomy places the organism in Eukaryota, Viridiplantae, Streptophyta, Magnoliopsida, Solanales, Solanaceae. The record is from RefSeq and is a predicted model, not a curated record.